GUGCCUUGAUCUGCCUUGACUGGGUCGGUUAACAGCUGGGCAGGGAGUACGACGGUGGGUUUAUGCGUCACCACAAGCCGACUAAAUUCCGGUUCACCGGAUUGAAAGAAAACGCUUAGA
RNAcentral lists this non-coding RNA (120 nucleotides) under unclassified sequences. Its description in RNAcentral is "drum RNA". It matches the Rfam family "drum RNA". Rfam says of the family: Firmicutes, Bacteroidetes (1 example), Proteobacteria (2 examples), Spirochaetes (2 examples). Terminator (Clostridia) The record is from Rfam by way of RNAcentral.